GAGGAGCUGGCUCUGCGCAGCACCACGGACAGCGCCCCGGGCCGGGAUGUCGGGAUGUUGUAGGGGAGCCGAGAGGCAGCGGGCCCGGGGUGCUGCAGAGGAGCUGGGAUACUGCCUGCGGGGCCCGGGCUUCUACCUGAGCGACCCGAGAUGCGGUGGCAAGCUGGUAAAACCUGGAGAAAGUGAGACUCUGCGAGGUCCUCACCGCGUAACUGGGCAUGCCCAGUGUGCAGUGCCGGUCUGGGGAGAAAGGAGUUAACUCCAGGGGAGCUUGCAGAUUAGGUGGCAAAGUCUGAGUCUGUGGCUAUAAAUGAUGGCUUGAGUCCUGUGGACAUUUACAUUCUUGUUCUUGUUAUAUUUCUACCCCGGGUUAGUUUUGGAGAAGAAACAGCAGAUAUUUUUAUUUCAACAUCACAAACCCAAUAGCCUCAGCCUCAGAUGCCAUAAGACAGGGUCUUCUUAAGUUGCCCGGCUGACCUGGAAUUUGCAGUCCUUCUGCCUCAGUGUCCCAAGUGCUGGGAUUACAGAGGACCUCAAAGCCCAUGGAAUGGACAUUAUCAUCUGGACUUUUCUCCUUUCUCCCAUAUCACCUCUUCCACCUUCUCUUUUGGAAGACAGUAGACAUACCAACCCAUUUGGGCUUCUAAGCACACACACUCUGUCAGUUCUACAUGCAUGAUGCUGCAGAGUCCAGUUCCUCCAUGUAGAAUGGUCUUUUUUUCAAAAUCCACUAGAGAAAUUCUUGCUAAUGGUCUUCCUCCAUUCAAAGUUAGAAUGC
Molecule: long non-coding RNA, 778 nt
Organism: Heterocephalus glaber (naked mole-rat)
Lineage: Eukaryota; Metazoa; Chordata; Mammalia; Rodentia; Bathyergidae
Source: Ensembl